This 129-nucleotide non-coding RNA is filed under the name Mycobacterium interjectum. Its description in RNAcentral is "TPP sequence". It matches the Rfam family "TPP riboswitch aptamer (THI element)". Rfam says of the family: Vitamin B(1) in its active form thiamin pyrophosphate (TPP) is an essential coenzyme that is synthesised by coupling of pyrimidine and thiazole moieties in bacteria. The previously detected thiamin-regulatory element, thi box was extended, resulting in a new, highly conserved RNA secondary structure, the THI element, which is widely distributed in eubacteria and also occurs in some archaea. The record is from RNAcentral. Lineage: Bacteria; Bacillati; Actinomycetota; Actinomycetes; Mycobacteriales; Mycobacteriaceae.
UCCGUAGAGCACGGGAGCCCCGGGUUACCGGCGGGGCUGAGAGUGGGCACAGCCAGCAGAACUGGACCUGCCCUUACCGUCACACCUGAUCCGGGUCAUGCCGGCGAAGGGAGCAGCAGAUGCCACAUU